This 910-nucleotide ribosomal RNA is filed under the name Neocucurbitaria cava. RNAcentral describes it as "LSU rRNA". It matches the Rfam family "Eukaryotic large subunit ribosomal RNA", at positions 38 to 964 of the family's 3401-position model. The record is from RNAcentral. Lineage: Eukaryota; Fungi; Ascomycota; Dothideomycetes; Pleosporales; Cucurbitariaceae.
GCAUAUCAAUAAGCGGAGGAAAAGAAACCAACAGGGAUUGCCCUAGUAACGGCGAGUGAAGCGGCAUCAGCUCAAAUUUGAAAUCUGGCUCUUUCAGGGUCCGAGUUGUAAUUUGCAGAGGGCGCUUUGGUGUUGGCAGCGGUCCAAGUUCCUUGGAACAGGACGUCACAGAGGGUGAGAAUCCCGUACGUGGUCGCUGGCCUUCGCCGUGUAAAGCCCCUUCGACGAGUCGAGUUGUUUGGGAAUGCAGCUCUAAAUGGGAGGUAAAUUUCUUCUAAAGCUAAAUACUGGCCAGAGACCGAUAGCGCACAAGUAGAGUGAUCGAAAGAUGAAAAGCACUUUGGAAAGAGAGUCAAAUAGCACGUGAAAUUGUUGAAAGGGAAGCGCUUGCAGCCAGACUUGCCUGUAGUUGCUCAUCUAGGCUCUUUGCCUAGUGCACUCUUCUGCGGGCAGGCCAGCAUCAGUCUAGGCGGUUGGAUAAAGGCCUCUGUCAUGUACCUCCUCUCGGGGAGGCCUUAUAGGGGAGGCGUAAUGCAACCAGCCUGGACUGAGGUCCGCGCAUCUGCUAGGAUGCUGGCGUAAUGGCUGUAAGCGGCCCGUCUUGAAACACGGACCAAGGAGUCUAACAUCUAUGCGAGUGUUUGGGUGUCAAGCCCGAGCGCGUAAUGAAAGUGAACGGAGGUGGGAUCCCUUUAGGGUGCACCAUCGACCGAUCCUGAUGUCUUCGGAUGGAUUUGAGUAAGAGCAUGGCUGUUGGGACCCGAAAGAUGGUGAACUAUGCUUGAAUAGGGUGAAGCCAGAGGAAACUCUGGUGGAGGCUCGCAGCGGUUCUGACGUGCAAAUCGAUCGUCAAAUUUGGGGCAUAGGGGCGAAAGACUAAUCGAACUAUCUAGUAGCUGGUUCCUGCCGA